RNAcentral lists this ribosomal RNA (253 nucleotides) under uncultured bacterium. Its description in RNAcentral is "partial 16S ribosomal RNA". It matches the Rfam family "Bacterial small subunit ribosomal RNA", at positions 524 to 776 of the family's 1533-position model. The record is from RNAcentral.
UACGGAGGGAGCUAGCGUUGUUCGGAAUUACUGGGCGUAAAGCGCACGUAGGCGGCUUUUUAAGUCAGGGGUGAAAUCCCGGGGCUCAACCCCGGAACUGCCCUUGAAACUGGAGAGCUAGAAUCUUGGAGAGGCGAGUGGAAUUCCGAGUGCAGAGGUGAAAUUCGUAGAUAUUCGGAAGAACACCAGUGGCGAAGGCGACUCGCUGGACAAGUAUUGACGCUGAGGUGCGAAAGCGUGGGGAGCAAACAGG